This 53-nucleotide ribosomal RNA is filed under the name Leucophleps spinispora. RNAcentral describes it as "partial 28S ribosomal RNA". Lineage: Eukaryota; Fungi; Basidiomycota; Agaricomycetes; Boletales; Leucogastraceae. The record is from RNAcentral.
CAUUNGACCUCAAAUCANGUAGGACUACCCGCUGAACUUAAGCAUAUCAAUAA